AACUGGGGAUCCUACGCGGGAGGAGUUCUUCGGCCCUCCGCACGAGUGGGCCGGCCCCCUAGUAUGUGCACCGGUCGUUUCAUCCCUUCUGUCGGCGAUGCACUCCUGGACAUAACUGGUUGGGUCGUUCCUCUGGCGCUAAUACUUUGAACAAGUUAGAGUGAUCAAAGCAAUCCUAAACUCAGUAUACAUUAGCAUGGGAUAACAUUAGAGGAUUUUGAUCCUAUUACGUUGGCCUUCGGGAUCAGAGUAAUGAUUAACAGGGACAGUCGGGGGCAUUUGUAUUUCAUAGUCAGAGGUGAAAUUCUUGGAUUUAUGAAAGAUGAACAACUACAAAAGCAUCUGGCAAGGAUGUUUUCAUUAAUCAAGAAUGAAAGUUGGGGGCUCGAAGACGAUCAGAUACCGUCCUAGUCUCAACCAUAAUUGAUGUUGACCAUAGAUCGACGAAUGUUGCUUUUAGGACUCCGCCGGCACCUUAUGAAAAAUCAAAGUUUUUAGGUUCCUAGGGGAAUAUGGUCGCAAGAAUGAAACUUAAAGAAAUUGAUGGAUGGGCACCACCAGGAGUGGAGCCUGCGACUUAAUUUGACUCAACACGGGGAAACUUACCAGGUCCAUACAUAGUAAGGAUUGACAGACUAAGAGAUCUUUCUUGAUUCUAUGGGUGGUGGUACAUGGUUGUUCUUAUUUAGUAGAGCAUUUGUUUGGUUAAUUCUGUUAACGAUCGAGACCUCAACCUGCUAACUAGCUAUAGGGAGGUAUCCCUUCGUUGCAAGUUUCUUAGAGGGACAACGACCCUUUUGGCAGCAAAAGUUUGAGGCAAUAACAGGUCUGUGAUGCCUUUAGAUGUUCUGGGCUGCACGCGCACUACACCGAUUUAUUUAAUGAGUUUAUAGCCUUGGCCAACAGACCCAGGUAAUCUUUGAAAUUUCAUCAUGAUGGGGAUAGAUCAUUGUAUUUCUUGGUCUUCAAUUAGGAAUUCCUAGUAAGUGUGAGUCAUCAGCUCGUGUUGACUACGUCCCUGCCCUUUGUACACACCGCCUGUCGCUCCUCCUGAUUGAAUAAUUUGGUGAAAUGUUUGGAUCGCGGCAACAUGGGCAGUUUACUUCCCACGAUGUUGUGAGAAGUCCAUUGAACCUUAUCAUUUAGAGGAAGGAGAAGUUGUAACAAGGUUUCCAUAGGUGAACCUGCUAAAG
This 1193-nucleotide ribosomal RNA is filed under the name Capsicum baccatum. RNAcentral describes it as "bacterial SSU rRNA". It matches the Rfam family "Eukaryotic small subunit ribosomal RNA", at positions 712 to 1823 of the family's 1831-position model. Lineage: Eukaryota; Viridiplantae; Streptophyta; Magnoliopsida; Solanales; Solanaceae. The record is from RNAcentral.